Non-coding RNA from Sesamum indicum (sesame), 282 nucleotides. The record is from RefSeq and is a predicted model, not a curated record. NCBI's taxonomy places the organism in Eukaryota, Viridiplantae, Streptophyta, Magnoliopsida, Lamiales, Pedaliaceae.
CCCGAUCUAGACUGUCAAAUUAAGCCGCAGGCUCCACUCCUAGUGGUGCCCUUCCGUCAAUUCCUUUAAGUUUCAGCCUUGCGACCAUACUCCCCCCGGAACCCAAAGACUUUGAUUUCUCAUAAGGUGCCGGCGGAGUCCUAAAAGCAACAUCCGCCGAUCCCUGGUCGGCAUCGUUGAUGGUUGAGACUAGGACGGUAUCUGAUCGUCUUCGAGCCCCCAACUUUCGUUCUUGAUUAAUGAAAACAUCCUUGGCAAAUGCUUUCGCAGUUGUUCGUCUUU